AAACUUAAAGGAAUUGGCGGGGGAGCACCACAACGGGUGGAGCUUGCGGUUUAAUUGGAUUCAACGCCGGAAAUCUUACCGGGACCGACAGCAAUAUGAAGGCCAGGCUGAAGACUUUGCCGGAUUAGCUGAGAGGUGGUGCAUGGCCGUCGUCAGUUCGUACUGUGAAGCAUCCUGUUAAGUCAGGCAACGAGCGAGACCCACGCCCACAGUUGCCAGCGUACUCUCUGGAGUGACGGGUACACUGUGGGGACCGCCGCUGCUAAAGCGGAGGAAGGAAUGGGCAACGGUAGGUCAGUAUGCCCCGAAUAUCCCGGGCUACACGCGAGCUACAAUGGUUGGUACAAUGGGUAUCUACCCCGAAAGGGGACGGGAAUCUCCUAAAACCAAUCUUAGUUCGGAUCGAGGGCUGCAACUCGCCCUCAUGAAGCUGGAGUCCGUAGUAAUCGCGUUUCAACAGAACGCGGUGAAUACGUCCCUGCUCCUUGCACACACCGCCCGUCAAACCACCCGAGUAGGGUCUGAAUGAGAGCGCUUACCAAUCGGAGGCGUUCGAAUUUGGGCUUUGCAAGGGGGGUUAAGUCGUAACAAGGUAACCAAGGGCGAAU
RNAcentral lists this ribosomal RNA (608 nucleotides) under uncultured archaeon. RNAcentral describes it as "bacterial SSU rRNA". It matches the Rfam family "Archaeal small subunit ribosomal RNA", at positions 852 to 1458 of the family's 1478-position model. The record is from RNAcentral.